AUCAUGGCUCAGGAUGAACGCUAGCUACAGGCUUAACACAUGCAAGUCGAGGGAAACGAUAUUGGAAGCUUGCUUCCGAUAGGCGUCGACCGGCGCACGGGUGAGUAACGCGUAUCCAACCUGCCCAUCACUUGGGAAUAACCUUGCGAAAGUAAGACUAAUGCCCAAUGACAUUUAUAGAAGGCAUCUGAAAUGAAUUAAAGAUUUAUCGGUGAUGGAUGGGGAUGCGUCUGAUUAGCUUGUUGGCGGGGUAACGGCCCACCAAGGCGACGAUCAGUAGGGGGUUCUGAGAGGAAGGUCCCCCACAUUGGAACUGAGACACGGUCCAAACUCCUACGGGAGGCAGCAGUGAGGAAUAUUGGUCAAUGGGCGAGAGCCUGAACCAGCCAAGUAGCGUGCAGGAAGACGGCCCUAUGGGUUGUAAACUGCUUUUAUGCGGGGAUAAAGGGGGCGACGUGUCGCCCCUUGCAGGUACCGCAUGAAUAAGGACCGGCUAAUUCCGUG
This 504-nucleotide ribosomal RNA is filed under the name uncultured bacterium. RNAcentral describes it as "bacterial SSU rRNA". It matches the Rfam family "Bacterial small subunit ribosomal RNA", at positions 16 to 507 of the family's 1533-position model. The record is from RNAcentral.